CUUGGCCCUACAGGCAUUGCAGGUGUGGCUGCUACGUCACAUGUGCCUCAGUAGGUGACAGAGAGGAGAGAAGCUAUGUCUACUCUCAGGGUUCUGACCUUUGAAUGUCCGAAUGAUUAGUAGCCGAAGGUU
This is a small nucleolar RNA of Acomys russatus (golden spiny mouse), 132 nucleotides long. RefSeq annotates it as small nucleolar RNA SNORA17. Lineage: Eukaryota; Metazoa; Chordata; Mammalia; Rodentia; Muridae. The record is from RefSeq and is a predicted model, not a curated record. The transcript has a single exon.